GGAGUUAGCCGGUGCUUCUUCUGCGAGUAACGUCACAGAUGUAAGGUAUUAACUUACACCCUUUCCUCCUCGCUGAAAGUGCUUUACAACCCGAAGGCCUUCUUCACACACGCGGCAUGGCUGCAUCAGGGUUUCCCCCAUUGUGCAAUAUUCCCCACUGCUGCCUCCCGUAGGAGUCUGGGCCGUGUCUCAGUCCCAGUGUGGCUGAUCAUCCUCUCAGACCAGCUAGGGAUCGUCGCCUAGGUGAGCCUUUACCUCACCUACUAGCUAAUCCCACCUGGGCUUAUCCAUCAGCGCAAGGCCCGAAGGUCCCCUGCUUUCCCCCGUAGGGCGUAUGCGGUAUUAGCAGUCGUUUCCAACUGUUAUCCCCCACAAAUGGGCAAAUUCCCAGGCAUUACUCACCCGGUCCGCCGCUCGUCAUCUUCAAAAGCAAGCUUUUGAAAUGUUACCGCUCGACUUGCAUGUGUUAGGCCUGCCGCCAGCGUUCAAUCUGAGCCAGAAUCAAACUCUGA
Molecule: ribosomal RNA, 512 nt
Filed under: uncultured bacterium
Lineage: Bacteria
Description: partial 16S ribosomal RNA
Source: RNAcentral